RNAcentral lists this ribosomal RNA (206 nucleotides) under uncultured bacterium. RNAcentral describes it as "partial 16S ribosomal RNA". It matches the Rfam family "Bacterial small subunit ribosomal RNA", at positions 568 to 774 of the family's 1533-position model. The record is from RNAcentral.
AGCGCAGACGGUUAUUUAAGUCUGAAGUGAAAGCCCUCAGCUCAACUGAGGAAUUGCUUUUGAAACUGGAUGACUUGAGUGCAGUAGAGGAAAGUGGAACUCCAUGUGUAGCGGUGAAAUGCGUAGAUAUAUGGAAGAACACCAGUGGCGAAGGCGGCUUUCUGGACUGUAACUGACGUUGAGGCUCGAAAGUGUGGUAGCAAACA